AUAGAACCUGAAACCGUGUACGUACAAGCAGUAGGAGCACCUUCGUGGUGUGACUGCGUACCUUUUGUAUAAUGGGUCAGCGACUUAUAUUCAGUGGCAAGGUUAACCGUAUAGGGGAGCCGUAGCGAAAGCGAGUCUUAACUGGGCGCUCAGUCUCUGGAUAUAGACCCGAAACCGGGUGAUCUAGCCAUGGGCAGGUUGAAGGUUGAGUAACAUCAACUGGAGGACCGAACCGACUAAUGUUGAAAAAUUAGCGGAUGACUUGUGGCUAGGGGUGAAAGGCCAAUCAAACUCGGAGAUAGCUGGUUCUCCCCGAAAGC
RNAcentral lists this ribosomal RNA (320 nucleotides) under Vibrio cholerae. RNAcentral's name for it is "partial 23S ribosomal RNA". It matches the Rfam family "Bacterial large subunit ribosomal RNA", at positions 543 to 866 of the family's 2925-position model. The record is from RNAcentral. Lineage: Bacteria; Pseudomonadati; Pseudomonadota; Gammaproteobacteria; Vibrionales; Vibrionaceae.